GACGGCCCGCCGCAGGGACCCUAAACUCUGUUUUUAGUGGAACUUCUGAGUAUAAAAAACAAAUAAAUCAAAACUUUCAACAACGGAUCUCUUGGUUCUGGCAUCGAUGAAGAACGCAGCAAAAUGCGAUAAGUAAUGUGAAUUGCAGAAUUCAGUGAAUCAUCGAAUCUUUGAACGCACAUUGCGCCCGCCAGUAUUCUGGCGGGCAUGCCUGUUCGAGCGUCAUUUCAACCCUCAAGCCCAGCUUGGUGUUGGGAGCUGCAGUCCUGCCGCACUCCCCAAAUACAUUGGCGGUCACGUCGAGCUUCCAUAGCGUAGUAAUUUACACAUCGUUACUGGUAAUCGUCGCGGCCACGCCGUUGAACCCCAACUUCUGAAUGUUGACCUCGGAUCAGGUAGGAAUACCCGCUGAACUUAAGCAUAUCAAUAAGCGGAGA
Molecule: ribosomal RNA, 437 nt
Filed under: uncultured Fusarium
Lineage: Eukaryota; Fungi; Ascomycota; Sordariomycetes; Hypocreales; Nectriaceae
Description: eukaryotic LSU rRNA
Rfam family: 5.8S ribosomal RNA (bases 72-225)
Source: RNAcentral